UGAACGCUGGCGGCGUGCUUAACACAUGCAAGUCGAACGUGAAAGUCCUUCGGGGCGAGUAAAGUGGCGCACGGGUGAGUAACGCGUGGAUAAUCUACCCUUAAGAUGGGGAUAACGGCUGGAAACGGUCGCUAAUACCGAAUACGCUCCCGAUUUUAUCAUUGGGGGGAAAGAUGGCCUCUGCUUGCAAGCUAUCGCUUAAGGAUGAGUCCGCGUCCCAUUAGCUAGUUGGCGGGGUAACGGCCCACCAAGGCAACGAUGGGUAGCCGGUCUGAGAGGAUGACCGGCCACACUGGAACUGGAACACGGUCCAGACUCCUACGGGAGGCAGCAGUGGGGAAUAUUGCGCAAUGGGCGAAAGCCUGACGCAGCGACGCCGCGUGAGGGAUGAAGGUUCUCGGAUCGUAAACCUCUGUCAGGGGGGAAGAAACCCCCUCGUGUGAAUAAUGCGAGGGCUUGACGGUACCCCCAAAGGAAGCACCGGCUAACUCCGUGCCAGCAGCCGCGGUAAUACGGAGGGUGCAAGCGUUAAUCGGAAUCACUGGGCGUAAAGCGCACGUAGGCGGCUUGGUAAGUCAGGGGUGAAAUCCCACAGCCCAACUGUGGAACUGCCUUUGAUACUGCCAGGCUUGAGUACCGGAGAGGGUGGCGGAAUUCCAGGUGUAGGAGUGAAAUCCGUAGAUAUCUGGAGGAACACCGGUGGCGAAGGCGGCCACCUGGACGGUAACUGACGCUGAGGUGCGAAAGCGUGGGUAGCAAACAGGAUUAGAUACCCUGGUAGUCCACGCUGUAAACGAUGGGUGCUGGGUGCUGGGAUGUAUGUCUCGGUGCCGUAGCUAACGCGAUAAGCACCCCGCCUGGGGAGUACGGUCGCAAGGCUGAAACUCAAAGAAAUUGACGGGGGCCCGCACAAGCGGUGGAGUAUGU
This 927-nucleotide ribosomal RNA is filed under the name human gut metagenome. RNAcentral's name for it is "bacterial SSU rRNA". It matches the Rfam family "Bacterial small subunit ribosomal RNA", at positions 30 to 942 of the family's 1533-position model. The record is from RNAcentral.